CGCGUGAAGUUGACCGCCUGGGGAGUACGGCCGCAAGGUUAAAACUCAAAGGAAUUGACGGGGACCCGCACAAGCGGUGGAUGAUGUGGUUUAAUUCGAUGCAACGCGAAAAACCUUACCCACCUUUGACAUGUAUGGAAGACUGCAGAGACGCAGUUGUGCUCGAAAGAGAGCCAUAACACAGGUGCUGCAUGGCUGUCGUCAGCUCGUGUCGUGAGAUGUUGGGUUAAGUCCCGCAACGAGCGCAACCCUUGUCAUUAGUUGCUACAUUUAGUUGGGCACUCUAAUGAGACUGCCGGUGACAAACCGGAGGAAGGUGGGGAUGACGUCAAGUCCUCAUGGCCCUUAUAGGUGGGGCUACACACGUCAUACAAUGGCUGGUACAAAGGGUUGCCAACCCGCGAGGGGGAGCCAAUCCCAUAAAGCCAGUCGUAGUCCGGAUCGCAGUCUGCAACUCGACUGCGUGAAGUCGGAAUCGCUAGUAAUCGCGGAUCAGAAUGUCGCGGUGAAUACGUUCCCGGGUCUUGUACACACCGCCCGUCACACCAUGGGAGUGGGUUCUACCAGAAGUAGGUAGCCUAACCGCAAGGAGGGCGCUUACCACGGUAGGGCUCAUGACUGGGGUGAAGUCGUAACAAGGUAACCAAGG
This 649-nucleotide ribosomal RNA is filed under the name uncultured bacterium. Its description in RNAcentral is "bacterial SSU rRNA". It matches the Rfam family "Bacterial small subunit ribosomal RNA", at positions 856 to 1505 of the family's 1533-position model. The record is from RNAcentral.